UGCUCGCUUCAGCGGCAAUAUACUAAAAUUGGAAUUAUCCAGAGGAGAUAAGCGCAGCCCCGGUGCUAGAAUGACAUGCAGCUUUGUGAAAGCAUUCCAUAUUUUU
Pipistrellus kuhlii (Kuhl's pipistrelle) is the source of this 106-nucleotide small nuclear RNA. NCBI's taxonomy places the organism in Eukaryota, Metazoa, Chordata, Mammalia, Chiroptera, Vespertilionidae. The record is from RefSeq and is a predicted model, not a curated record.